CAUUCUCUCACCGAAGUUUCUCUCUCUCUUAAAUGCUUUGUUCUUCUAAAAUGCUUUGUUCGUGCUGGGUUUUAUAUGAGGAUUUUUCCAUCUGACACUGUGUAACAUUGAUCGGCUUCUGUUUAGUCUGUGGGUUGUGAAUCUGAGCAUGACUUUCAGAUUCAUUCUUUCCUGUUCGAUUUAUUCUCUCCAUUUUUUGAUUCCACAUAUUCGGUCUCCGUCUCAGUGCGUUGUGGGUUGUUGCUUUUAGGUUUUUCUGUUUGAAGACAUCUGACGUCUCAUGUUUCUAGAUUUUCAUCUUCUUGGUGGUUGUUGGAUCGUUGGAUUAUGAAGACCUUCGGCUUCUCAGCACAGACUUCACAAAAAGAAUAGAUGAUUCAACUUAGUGCAGACCCUCAUCGACUCAAGCAACAGCGGCACAAAAACUUCGAUGUCCUCUCAAUUGAUCUCAUACAAGAGGACACAAAAUGACCAAUUAUCCCACAAACCAGCCAACCACUAUUUUCAUGUACUAAAAAAAUAUUUGCAUUAUGUAUUCUACUUUUGGAAAAAAACUAGGACUUUAAUUUGUCUAUGUUACUCUACUCCACAAACUUGAAUUAAACUAUGAUGUAUUUUGAAUUGAUCUUUUUGUUUUCUAAUGUAUCCAAACAUGUAAUUAUUAUACUUCAGUAA
Juglans microcarpa x Juglans regia is the source of this 675-nucleotide long non-coding RNA. RefSeq lists it as uncharacterized. The record is from RefSeq and is a predicted model, not a curated record. NCBI's taxonomy places the organism in Eukaryota, Viridiplantae, Streptophyta, Magnoliopsida, Fagales, Juglandaceae. The transcript is spliced from 4 exons.